GACGAACGCUGGCGGCGUGCCUAAUACAUGCAAGUAGAACGCUGAAGAGAGGAGCUUACUCUUCUUGGAUGAGUUGCGAACGGGUGAGUAACGCGUAGGUAACCUGUCUUGUAGCGGGGGAUAACUAUUGGAAACGAUAGCUAAUACCGCAUAACAAUGGAUGACACAUGUCAUUUAUUUGAAAGGGGCAAUUGCUCCACUACAAGAUGGACCUGCGUUGUAUUAGCUAGUAGGUGAGGUAAUGGCUCACCUAGGCGACGAUACAUAGCCGACCUGAGAGGGUGAUCGGCCACACUGGGACUGAGACACGGCCCAGACUCCUACGGGAGGCAGCAGUAGGGAAUCUUCGGCAAUGGGGGCAACCCUGACCGAGCAACGCCGCGUGAGUGAAGAAGGGUUUCGGAUCGUAAAGCUCUGUUGUAAGUCAAGAACGGGUGUGAGAGUGGAAAGUUCACACUGUGACGGUAGCUUACCAGAAAGGGACGGCUAACUACGUG
Molecule: ribosomal RNA, 497 nt
Filed under: uncultured bacterium
Lineage: Bacteria
Description: partial 16S ribosomal RNA
Rfam family: Bacterial small subunit ribosomal RNA
Source: RNAcentral